AGUCGAGCGAAGCGGCAGCUGUAGCAAUACAGUAUGUGCUUAGCGGCAGACGGGUGAGUAACACGUAGAGAACCUUCCUCUAAGCGGGGGAUAGCUAGCCGAAAGGUUAGGUAAUACCGCGUACGAUCCACUGGUGGCAUCACCGGUGGAUGAAACAUCCGCAAGGAUGGCUUGGAGAGGGCUCUGCGGCCUAUCAGCUAGUUGGUGAGGUAACGGCUCACCAAGGCAACGACGGGUAACCGGCCUGAAAGGGCGAACGGUCACACUGACACUGAGACACGGGUCAGACACCUACGGGUGGCAGCAGUGAGGAAUCUUGGACAAUGGGGGCAACCCUGAUCCAGCGACGCCGCGUGAAGGAUGAAGGUCUUCGGAUUGUAAACUUCUUUUGUUCGGGAAUAAAAAAUCUAUGGAAACAUGGAGAUUGAAGGUACCGGAUGAAUAAGCCACGGCUAACUUCGUGCCAGCAGCCGCGGUAAUACGAAGGUGGCAAGCGUUACUCGGAAUUACUAGGCGUAAAGGGCAGGUAGGUGGUUUGAUAAGUCUGUUGUGUAAGCUCCUGGCUUAACUGGGAGAGGUCAACGGAAACUAUCAGACUUGAGUAUAGGAGAGGUUACUGGAAUUCCCGGUGUAGCGGUGAAAUGCGCAGAGAUCGGGAGGAACACCAAUGGCGAAAGCAGGUAACUGGACUAUUACUGACACUAAGCUGCGAAAGCUAGGGGAGCAAACAGGAUUAGAUACCCUGGUAGUCCUAGCUGUAAACGAUGCACAUUAGGCGUGAGGGGUAUCGACCCCCUUCGUGCCGACGCAAACGCAUUAAAUGUGCCGCCUG
RNAcentral lists this ribosomal RNA (832 nucleotides) under uncultured bacterium. RNAcentral describes it as "bacterial SSU rRNA". It matches the Rfam family "Bacterial small subunit ribosomal RNA", at positions 60 to 875 of the family's 1533-position model. The record is from RNAcentral.